Molecule: ribosomal RNA, 469 nt
Filed under: uncultured bacterium
Lineage: Bacteria
Description: partial 16S ribosomal RNA
Rfam family: Bacterial small subunit ribosomal RNA
Source: RNAcentral
GACGAACGCUGGCGGCGUGCUUAACACAUGCAAGUCGAACGGUGAAGCGCGUGCUUGCACUCGUGGAUCAGUGGCGAACGGGUGAGUAACACGUGAGUAACCUGCCCAUCACUCUGGGAUAACCACUGGAAACGGUGUCUAAUACUGGAUACGACCACCCCUUGCAUGGGGUGGUGGUGGAAAGUUUUGUCGGUGGUGGAUGGACUCGCGGCCUAUCAGCUUGUUGGCGGGGUGAUGGCUCACCAAGGCGACGACGGGUAGCCGGCCUGAGAGGGUGACCGGCCACACUGGGACUGAGACACGGCCCAGACUCCUACGGGAGGCAGCAGUGGGGAAUAUUGCACAAUGGGCGAAAGCCUGAUGCAGCGACGCCGCGUGAGGGAUGACGGCCUUCGGGUUGUAAACCUCUUUCGGCAGGGAAGAAGCGAGAGUGACGGUACCUGCAGAAGAAGCACCGGCUAACUACGUG